RNAcentral lists this ribosomal RNA (792 nucleotides) under Harringtonia lauricola. RNAcentral's name for it is "Raffaelea lauricola partial large subunit ribosomal RNA". It matches the Rfam family "Eukaryotic large subunit ribosomal RNA", at positions 91 to 906 of the family's 3401-position model. Lineage: Eukaryota; Fungi; Ascomycota; Sordariomycetes; Ophiostomatales; Ophiostomataceae. The record is from RNAcentral.
GAGUGAAGCGGCAACAGCUCAAAUUUGAAAUCUGGCCCCCCGCGGGCCCGAGUUGUACUUUGGAGAGGACGCUUCUGGCGCGGCGCCGUCCGAGUUCCCUGGAACGGGACGCCGGAGAGGGUGAGAGCCCCGUACGGGCGGCCGCCUAGCCUCUGCGAAGCUCCUUCGACGAGUCGAGUAGUUUGGGAAUGCUGCUCAAAAUGGGAGGUAAAUUUCUUCUAAAGCUAAAUACCGGCCAGAGACCGAUAGCGCACAAGUAGAGUGAUCGAAAGAUGAAAAGCACUUUGAAAAGAGGGUCAAACAGUACGUGAAAUUGUUGAAAGGGAAGCGCCUGUGGCCAGACUUGCGCCCCGCGGACCACCCGGCGCCUCGCGCGCCGGGGCACGCCAGCGGGGCGCAGGCCAGCAUCGGCUCUCUCGGGGGGACAAAGGCCGCGGGAACGUAGCGCCCUCGCGGCGUAUUAUAGCCCGCGGCGCCAUGCCCCCGGGGGGGCCGAGGACCGCGCUCCGGCAAGGAUGCUGGCGUAAUGGCCACCGGCGACCCGUCUUGAAACACGGACCAAGGAGUCAAGCAUUGGGGCGAGUGUCUGGGUGGCAAGCCCGCACGCGGAAUGAAAGUGAACGCAGGUGGGAGCUUCGGCGCACCACCGACCGAUCCUGAUGUCCUCGGAUGGAUUUGAGUAGGAGCCCCGCCGCUUGGACCCGAAAGAUGGUGAACUAUGCCUGUAUAGGGUGAAGCCAGAGGAAACUCUGGUGGAGGCCCGCAGCGGUUCUGACGUGCAAAUCGAUCGUC